CCUACGGGGGGCAGCAGUGAGGAAUAUUGGUCAAUGAACGAGAGUCUGAACCAGCCAAGUAGCGUGAAGGAUGACUGCCCUAUGGGUUGUAAACUUCUUUUAUAUGGGAAUAAAAUGUUCCACGUGUGGGAUUUUGUAUGUACCAUAUGAAUAAGGAUCGGCUAACUCCGUGCCAGCAGCCGCGGUAAUACGGAGGAUCCGAGCGUUAUCCGGAUUUAUUGGGUUUAAAGGGAGCGUAGGUGGAUUGUUAAGUCAGUUGUGAAAGUUUGCGGCUCAACCGUAAAAUUGCAGUUGAAACUGGCAGUCUUGAGUACAGUAGAGGUGAGCGGAAUUCGUGGUGUAGCGGUGAAAUGCUUAGAUAUCACGAAGAACUCCGAUUGCGAAGGCAGUUCACUGGACUGCAACUGACACUGAGGCUCGAAAGUGUGGGUAUCAAACAGGAUUAGAAACCCCAGUAGUC
Molecule: ribosomal RNA, 460 nt
Filed under: uncultured bacterium
Lineage: Bacteria
Description: partial 16S ribosomal RNA
Rfam family: Bacterial small subunit ribosomal RNA
Source: RNAcentral